CAGAGUAGGCGGCUGUGCGUAUUAAGUGUCCCGACGACGGGGAGUUGCGUCGGGAACGAAAUGCUUUGGAUUUAUCAAAGCUGCGGUACAGUCUCCGCAUCCCGCUG
This 107-nucleotide non-coding RNA is filed under the name pig gut metagenome. RNAcentral's name for it is "THF riboswitch". It matches the Rfam family "THF (Tetrahydrofolate) riboswitch aptamer". From Rfam's summary of the family: THF riboswitch presents a pseudoknot that joins P1-P2 and the loop of P3 and two THF binding. The record is from RNAcentral.